CCACAUGGGAUAAGAGCCCAAAACCAUUGCUUUGAGGCAGUGAAUGGCUUGUAUAAAGUUAUUUUGGGUUAGAAUAUGUUAUAAUACAAUGAAUUUGAUAGAUUACAAGUGCUAGAGAUGCAAGAAGAAUGUUUAAAAGUGAGAAGAAAGACUUGUUGAUAUUUGAUCCCAAAUGGGAUAAGAACCCAAAACCAUUGCUUGGAGGCAGUGAAUGGCUUGUAUAAAGUUAUUUGGGUUAGAAUAUGUUAUAAUACAAUGAAUUUGAUUGAUUACAAGUGCUAGAGAUACAUGAAGAAUGUUUAGAAAUGAGAAGAAAGACUUGUUGAUAUUUGGUCACAAAUGGGAUAAGAACCCAAACCAUUGCUUCGAGGCAGUUAAUGGCUUGUAUAAAGUUAUUUUGGGUUAGAAUAUGUUAUAAUACAAUGAAUUUGAUUGAUUACAAGUGCUAGAGAUGCAUGAAGAAUGUUUCAAAGUGAGAAGAAAGACUUGUUGAUAUUUGGUCCCAAAUGGGAUAAGAGCCCA
RNAcentral lists this long non-coding RNA (522 nucleotides) under Capsella rubella. RNAcentral's name for it is "long non-coding RNA (CRUB_LNC000258)". The record is from RNAcentral. Lineage: Eukaryota; Viridiplantae; Streptophyta; Magnoliopsida; Brassicales; Brassicaceae.